RNAcentral lists this ribosomal RNA (461 nucleotides) under Bacilli bacterium oral taxon C43. Its description in RNAcentral is "bacterial SSU rRNA". It matches the Rfam family "Bacterial small subunit ribosomal RNA", at positions 28 to 479 of the family's 1533-position model. Lineage: Bacteria; Bacillati; Bacillota; Bacilli. The record is from RNAcentral.
GACGAACGCUGGCGGCGUGCCUAAUACAUGCAAGUCGAGCGGAGUUUUUAAAAGCUUGCUUUUAAAAACUCAGCGGCGGACGGGUGAGUAACACGUGGGCAACCUGCCCUGUAGACUGGGAUAACUUCGGGAAACCGAAGCUAAUACCGGAUAAUCAUAGAAGUUGCAUAGCUUCUAUGUAAAAGUUGGGUUUACCUAACACUACAGGAUGGGCCCGCGUCGCAUUAGCUAGUUGGUAAGGUAACGGCUUACCAAGGCGACGAUGCGUAGCCGACCUGAGAGGGUGAUCGGCCACACUGGGACUGAGACACGGCCCAGACUCCUACGGGAGGCAGCAGUAGGGAAUCUUCCGCAAUGGACGAAAGUCUGACGGAGCAACGCCGCGUGAGCGAUGAAGGCCUUCGGGUCGUAAAGCUCUGUUGUUAGGGAAGAACAAGUGCUAUUUCGAAUAGGGUGGCACC